This 2922-nucleotide ribosomal RNA is filed under the name Staphylococcus argenteus. RNAcentral describes it as "23S ribosomal RNA". It matches the Rfam family "Bacterial large subunit ribosomal RNA". Lineage: Bacteria; Bacillati; Bacillota; Bacilli; Caryophanales; Staphylococcaceae. The record is from RNAcentral.
GAUUAAGUUAUUAAGGGCGCACGGUGGAUGCCUUGGCACUAGAAGCCGAUGAAGGACGUUACUAACGACGAUAUGCUUUGGGGAGCUGUAAGUAAGCUUUGAUCCAGAGAUUUCCGAAUGGGGAAACCCAACAUGAGUUAUGUCAUGUUAUCGAUAUGUGAAUACAUAGCAUAUCAGAAGGCACACCCGGAGAACUGAAACAUCUUAGUACCCGGAGGAAGAGAAAGAAAAUUCGAUUCCCUUAGUAGCGGCGAGCGAAACGGGAAGAGCCCAAACCAACAAGCUUGCUUGUUGGGGUUGUAGGACACUCUAUACGGAGUUACAAAGGACGACAUUAGACGAAUCAUCUGGAAAGAUGAAUCAAAGAAGGUAAUAAUCCUGUAGUCGAAAAUGUUGUCUCUCUUGAGUGGAUCCUGAGUACGACGGAGCACGUGAAAUUCCGUCGGAAUCUGGGAGGACCAUCUCCUAAGGCUAAAUACUCUCUAGUGACCGAUAGUGAACCAGUACCGUGAGGGAAAGGUGAAAAGCACCCCGGAAGGGGAGUGAAAUAGAACCUGAAACCGUGUGCUUACAAGUAGUCAGAGCCCGUUAAUGGGUGAUGGCGUGCCUUUUGUAGAAUGAACCGGCGAGUUACGAUUUGAUGCAAGGUUAAGCAGUAAAUGUGGAGCCGUAGCGAAAGCGAGUCUGAAUAGGGCGUUUAGUAUUUGGUCGUAGACCCGAAACCAGGUGAUCUACCCUUGGUCAGGUUGAAGUUCAGGUAACACUGAAUGGAGGACCGAACCGACUUACGUUGAAAAGUGAGCGGAUGAACUGAGGGUAGCGGAGAAAUUCCAAUCGAACCUGGAGAUAGCUGGUUCUCUCCGAAAUAGCUUUAGGGCUAGCCUCAAGUGAUGAUUAUUGGAGGUAGAGCACUGUUUGGACGAGGGGCCCCUCUCGGGUUACCGAAUUCAGACAAACUCCGAAUGCCAAUUAAUUUAACUUGGGAGUCAGAACAUGGGUGAUAAGGUCCGUGUUCGAAAGGGAAACAGCCCAGACCACCAGCUAAGGUCCCAAAAUAUAUGUUAAGUGGAAAAGGAUGUGGCGUUGCCCAGACAACUAGGAUGUUGGCUUAGAAGCAGCCAUCAUUUAAAGAGUGCGUAAUAGCUCACUAGUCGAGUGACACUGCGCCGAAAAUGUACCGGGGCUAAACAUAUUACCGAAGCUGUGGAUUGUCCUUUGGACAAUGGUAGGAGAGCGUUCUAAGGGCGUUGAAGCAUGAUCGUAAGGACAUGUGGAGCGCUUAGAAGUGAGAAUGCCGGUGUGAGUAGCGAAAGACGGGUGAGAAUCCCGUCCACCGAUUGACUAAGGUUUCCAGAGGAAGGCUCGUCCGCUCUGGGUUAGUCGGGUCCUAAGCUGAGGCCGACAGGCGUAGGCGAUGGAUAACAGGUUGAUAUUCCUGUACCACCUAUAAUCGUUUUAAUCGAUGGGGGGACGCAGUAGGAUAGGCGAAGCGUGCGAUUGGAUUGCACGUCUAAGCAGUAAGGCUGAGUAUUAGGCAAAUCCGGUACUCAUUAAGGCUGAGCUGUGAUGGGGAGAAGACAUUGUGUCUUCGAGUCGUUGAUUUCACACUGCCGAGAAAAGCCUCUAGAUAGAAAAUAGGUGCCCGUACCGCAAACCGACACAGGUAGUCAAGAUGAGAAUUCUAAGGUGAGCGAGCGAACUCUCGUUAAGGAACUCGGCAAAAUGACCCCGUAACUUCGGGAGAAGGGGUGCUCUUUAGGGUUAACGCCCAGAAGAGCCGCAGUGAAUAGGCCCAAGCGACUGUUUAUCAAAAACACAGGUCUCUGCUAAACCGUAAGGUGAUGUAUAGGGGCUGACGCCUGCCCGGUGCUGGAAGGUUAAGAGGAGUGGUUAGCUUCUGCGAAGCUACGAAUCGAAGCCCCAGUAAACGGCGGCCGUAACUAUAACGGUCCUAAGGUAGCGAAAUUCCUUGUCGGGUAAGUUCCGACCCGCACGAAAGGCGUAACGAUUUGGGCACUGUCUCAACGAGAGACUCGGUGAAAUCAUAGUACCUGUGAAGAUGCAGGUUACCCGCGACAGGACGGAAAGACCCCGUGGAGCUUUACUGUAGCCUGAUAUUGAAAUUCGGCACAGCUUGUACAGGAUAGGUAGGAGCCUUUGAAACGUGAGCGCUAGCUUACGUGGAGGCGCUGGUGGGAUACUACCCUAGCUGUGUUGGCUUUCUAACCCGCACCACUUAUCGUGGUGGGAGACAGUGUCAGGCGGGCAGUUUGACUGGGGCGGUCGCCUCCUAAAAGGUAACGGAGGCGCUCAAAGGUUCCCUCAGAAUGGUUGGAAAUCAUUCAUAGAGUGUAAAGGCAUAAGGGAGCUUGACUGCGAGACCUACAAGUCGAGCAGGGUCGAAAGACGGACUUAGUGAUCCGGUGGUUCCGCAUGGAAGGGCCAUCGCUCAACGGAUAAAAGCUACCCCGGGGAUAACAGGCUUAUCUCCCCAAGAGUUCACAUCGACGGGGAGGUUUGGCACCUCGAUGUCGGCUCAUCGCAUCCUGGGGCUGUAGUCGGUCCCAAGGGUUGGGCUGUUCGCCCAUUAAAGCGGUACGCGAGCUGGGUUCAGAACGUCGUGAGACAGUUCGGUCCCUAUCCGUCGUGGGCGUAGGAAAUUUGAGAGGAGCUGUCCUUAGUACGAGAGGACCGGGAUGGACAUACCUCUGGUGUACCAGUUGUCGUGCCAACGGCAUAGCUGGGUAGCUAUGUGUGGACGGGAUAAGUGCUGAAAGCAUCUAAGCAUGAAGCCCCCCUCAAGAUGAGAUUUCCCAACUUCGGUUAUAAGAUCCCUCAAAGAUGAUGAGGUUAAUAGGUUCGAGGUGGAAGCAUGGUGACAUGUGGAGCUGACGAAUACUAAUCGAUCGAAGACUUAAUCAA